CAGCAGCAGUCAGUGGGCUACAGUUCUCUGGAGACCGUCUACUCCGUCAGCCACAGCCUGACCCUCGCUGCCCUUCUGGUCACUAGAGCCGUCUUGAGCCUGUUCAGGUGAGGUCCAGCCACAGCAGCAGGCCUCAGAGCAGACUCAGCCAGGAGGCUAGCCAAGUCUACUCUUCUGCUGACCUCCCGUUUGGAGUGCACUACAUCAUGUUCGCCUUCUUUCCUGACAACAUUACAGCUGAGGUGAAAAUGAUCUUUGAGCUCAUCAUGGGGUCUUUCCAGGUGCAGGCGCAGUUGCAGCAGAAGUGGCCGUGCUGGCACCUGCAGGGCUUCUUGGGCUCGGACCCCAAAUCCCAGCACCACUCAAGAGACAGCAACGGGGCCAUGUGCAGCACACGGGCUUCCAUUCUGCCCUGCGUCCGCCCGGGCGCACACUGUUCCUCCAGCUUCCAGGCCGAAGUCUACCUGGUCUGGCCGCCUGGAGCUCAUGGGCCCCCAUUGGCUGCUCCUGGAUGCACCUCCCACUUCGGGCUGCAUCAGGGACCGAGGUCUGCCCAGGUGACACCAGCUCAGAGGCUGCCCUGACCCCCAGGCCACUGUCUGGAUGCCUCUGAAGAACUCUGCCCUUGCACUUUCCUGAGGAGAGUAGUGCACACAGAUGCGGGAGCCGCUUCUCGACUCAUCCCCUCAUGAUUGCAGGAUGGCUGUCACGACCCCAGGCCUCGUGUUCUCACAGAACUCCAUCCAGUGGCAGAAAGAAUGUUUCCUCUGUGUCUGCAUUUAUCAGAAAAAUAAACCAUGCCAGAACACAUGUACACUUUCCUCAGGCUCCAAGGCCAGGAUCAGGUCACAUCCCCAAGCUCUGGCUACAACUUCUAGAAGGAAAGUUGAUCUAAUAAAGAAGAAGAGGGGGGAAUGGAUGUUUCUUUGGGUAAAUAUGUGGCUUUUCAACCUCCUCCCAUCUGAGCCUGGUGGUAUAGUUCUAUGGUAGAGGUGAGGAAGCCCAAUCAGUCAAGGAUAAGUGCAGGAAAUAGAAAACACUCUAGGUAUUUUGUGCAGAAAGCUACUCAACAUAGGGAAUUAAAUGUAGAGAGGUCUGGAGGCAUGGAGGUGAGGGUACGCUUCUGCCCUGUGGUAGGUCACACUAGCCCAGCUGCCACCUUGCAGGAAAUUCUUGUCAGCAUCCUAGUUGCACAUCCAUUAAAUGGUGACAAGAAAAUGGAAGGGACACAGUGCCCUGCUGCCAUGAAAACUCCUCCCUGCAAGAUCCCAGUCAGCAGCCACCACACUGCAGGAACAAUGGCCUCUGCCUCCUUCUACUUCCAGCUCUUCCCCGCGGUGCUUCCCUCUGGUGGAGCCUAGGUUGCAUCCAGCAAGGGGGUGCUGGGAAAGGUAGUCUUCAGCCCCUGAAACACAUGGGAAUAUGGAAGGGGCAGACAGGGAUGCUGGGCACCAAUAGGUCAGUUCUAGCACAGAGGCUCAGGUGGCCUUGUAGCCCGUGUCACCAGAAAACGAGCUUAAGAUAAGAGUCUGUGAUCGAGUAAUAGGAAUUGGGGACAGAGAAGUGUGAAACUGGGGAACAGGAAAAGCCAAAAUGGUGGUGAGUCAUUGAGCUGGUCACCUGUGUUGCUACUGGGACCCUCUGAGAAGCAGGAGGGUCAGGACAGUGUUAGCUGCUGGCUCCCACCAUCUACCGCUCAAGCUCUGCCCAUGUCAACGCCAUCAUCUGUCCAUGCAUGAGUUGUCAGGUGGGUUCCUGCAGGUGUCCCUCACCAUGGCUUCAGAGGAUCUCUGGGCAGAAAGUGAUCGCUGAGGUGGGGAACAGGUUAUUCCUGUAGGAGCUGGAAAAAGUAGGCCAAAUAAGAUCCAAGGCAGCAAGUCCAGUACCAGUGGCUUCUUUCGGGCAGAGAAGAGGAGCCUUGCACAAAGGCCUCUGUGCUACCCUCUCUUCAAGGGUACUCUCUUCAUGGACACCCACUGUGGCCGAGGUAUUCACAACCUGGUCUCUCGGCUGGGGCCCCAGAGCCUGCUCUGGCAGAUCCAGCCUGACCUUGGCUCAUGGUGGCCCCUCCACCAUGCUUCUACCCAGUCCUGGGUGUAAGCUACCCUCACCUCUGCGUUAGCCAUGGCAGUGCCACACGCCAGGACCACCGGCUCUAACUCAGCCAUCUCCCUCAUACCCUGUGGAGCAUGCAAGAGCCUUUGGAUCCCUGCCAGGUCUCGGGGAGCCAAGAGACACUUGGUGGUGGCCACUACAACCUCCUUGCCAUCAAAUGCACCCAUCUACCGUUUUUACCCAGGAGGGCCACCUAAGAGGCACAGGCAGCCUUGGAGACUGGUUCCAAAUGCAGAAUGGGACACGUGCCCUCUCUGUUUUCACUUUUUAGGGUUCUUCCCCCCCUCAAGAUUCAUCCCAGAGGAUGAGGCCAGGAUACGUCUGAGAGAUUCUUCCCCUUCUCUGUCUUGUUCACCAGCUUAAGAUGGGCUUUCGGCCCUCCCCCUCCAUCGUCCCUUCCGGUUUCCUGAGAUGCCAUCCAUCCACCGUCCUCUGGAUCAUAAUGGUGGAGUGGCUUCAGAGGAAUGCAGUUUCAGGUCAGGGGUUAGGAAAUGAGAAUUACAUUGAUUUUGUAUUUUCAAAGUAUCAACGCCAUAAUACUCAUUCAGCAAAGAGUCACCGAGCACUUACCGUGUGCAGGGAGUGACCAAGGCAGAGGCCCUGCCCCAGAGAGCUGCCCUUCUAAUGGAGGAGUCCAAUCCCUAAACGGGAAAAUUACAGGAGGCUGAAAAGGACAGCACAGGGAACACAGUCAAUAAUAUUGUGAUAAUGGGCGGCGACAGAUAGUGAUGACGUUUAUCGUGGUGAGUAAUGUACAGAAUUGUAAAAUCACUAUGUUGUACCCCAAAGCUAACAUUGUAUGUCAGCUCUA
Long non-coding RNA from Suricata suricatta (meerkat), 2926 nucleotides. RefSeq lists it as uncharacterized. The transcript has 4 exons. The record is from RefSeq and is a predicted model, not a curated record. NCBI's taxonomy places the organism in Eukaryota, Metazoa, Chordata, Mammalia, Carnivora, Herpestidae.